Molecule: ribosomal RNA, 770 nt
Filed under: uncultured bacterium
Lineage: Bacteria
Description: partial 16S ribosomal RNA
Source: RNAcentral
GACGUCUGGCAUUCAUCGUUUACGGUGUGGACUACCAGGGUAUCUAAUCCUGUUUGCUCCCCACACUUUCGCACCUCAGCGCCAGUAUCGAGCCAGUAAGCCGCCUUCGCCACUGGUGUUCCUCCGAAUAUCUACGAAUUUCACCUCUACACUCGGAAUUCCACUUACCUCUCUCGAACUCAAGACUAGCAGUAUUAAAGGCAGUUCCAGGGUUGAGCCCUGGGAUUUCACCUCUAACUUACUAAUCCGCCUACGUGCGCUUUACGCCCCGUAAUUCCGAACAACGCUAACCCCCUCCGUAUUACCGCGGCUGCUGGCACGGAGUUAGCCGGGGUUUCUUUACCAGAUACUGUCAUUAUCAUCUCUGGCGAAAGUGCUUUACGACCCUAAGGCCUUCAUCACACACGCGGCAUGGCUAGAUCAGGGUUUCCCCCAUUGUCUAAGAUUCCCUACUGCUGCCUCCCGUAGGAGUCUGGGCCGUGUCUCAGUCCCAGUGUGGCUGAUCAUCCUCUCAAACCAGCUAUAGAUCGUAGGCUUGGUAGGCCAUUACCCCACCAACUACCUAAUCUAACGCGGGCUAAUCCUUCUCCGAUAAAUCUUUCCCCCGAAGGGCGUAUAAGGUAUUACUCUCAGUUUCCCGAGGCUAUUCCUUAGAGAAGGGCAUAUUCCCACGCGUUACUCACCCGUCCGCCGCUCAUCCCGAAGGAUGCGCUCGACUUGCAUGUAUUAGGCCUGCCGCCAGCGUUCGUUCUGAGCCAGGAUCAAACUCU